CAUGUUGUCGUUGCUGUCGUUUGUAGGCAUCUUAGGUAUUGAGGAUCUGAGGGUAUUGAGGCAUCUUGAGGGGUAUUGAGGCAUCUGAGGGUCUUGACGCGCAUCUGAGGUAUUGAGGCAUCUGAGGGUAUUGAGGCAUCUGAGGG
Molecule: long non-coding RNA, 146 nt
Organism: Notothenia coriiceps (black rockcod)
Lineage: Eukaryota; Metazoa; Chordata; Actinopteri; Perciformes; Nototheniidae
Exons: 2
Source: RefSeq, a predicted model, not a curated record